UACGAAGGGAGCUAGCGUUGUUCGGAAUCACUGGGCGUAAAGCGCACGUAGGCGGAUGUGUCAGUCAGGGGUGAAAUCCCGGAGCUCAACUUCGGAACUGCCUUUGAUACAGCACGUCUUGAGUCCGAUAGAGGUGGGUGGAAUUCCUAGUGUAGAGGUGAAAUUCGUAGAUAUUCGCAAGAACACCAGUGGCGAAGGCGGCUCACUGGCCCGAUACUGACGCUGAGGCACGAAAGCGUGGGGAGCAAACAGG
RNAcentral lists this ribosomal RNA (253 nucleotides) under uncultured bacterium. Its description in RNAcentral is "partial 16S ribosomal RNA". It matches the Rfam family "Bacterial small subunit ribosomal RNA", at positions 524 to 776 of the family's 1533-position model. The record is from RNAcentral.